GCCCAAGCUGUCCUCAAACUUGUGAUCCUCCUGCUCCAGCUUCCUGAGUCACUGGGAUUACAGAAACCUGUGAAGACCCUAAGACUUGUACCAGUCACAGAGGAACACGGCAAAUGCCUCAGUGCUGCCCUCUUGUGGGAGCUGGAGGCUGAACACUCACUCAUCCUGUGGAGGCAAGAUCACUGGAAUCCCACCUUCAACCAAAGGAGAGCAAAGUCUAAAAUGGCGAAUGACUGAGGGAUGCCUUUUUUUUUUUUUUUUUUUACAAGUGUCUUCCGAACUAGUCUGUCACACGCCUGAAUUAUCUUUAGAGAUUGAUUCCUUUCAGACAACAUCCUAAGAGUCCUCAUUUGAAUCACAAAACAAGGAAGAUCACUGUAUAGACUGUUUUUGCAAUUCUUCCAAGAAUCUUCCAUGUCUAGAAGCUGAUGGACUAUAUAUACUAACAGGAUGCCCUAGAAUGCAUCCUCUUGGUAGACUCUGGCUGAGCUUGUCUGUGCAGAUGAAAACAUCCCUGCCACUGAUAAACCUCAAAAGUUUAAAAAGUUGUAACAGGGAGAUUUGCCUUACCUGGCUUGCUGUUGGUCGUUUCUUCGGAUCCCAGUUCAACAUUUCAGUCAUUAGCUGAAUGGCUUCAUUACUGGCAUUGGGAAUAAGAGUUUUUAAGUUUAUAGGAACACACUGAGGAAAGCGGAAAUUCAUAGAGGAUGCAAGCUGGUAUCCUUCUGGCCAGUCACUCUGUUUCAAGAAUACAUAUGUGGGGGUGGGGAGCAAAAAGAAAACGGUUUUAGUGAUCAAUUGAAAAAUGCAAAAGCCACUCAGUAUGAAAAUUUUAAUACUGAUUCAUAUAAACAAAUGUGAAAUAAAAUAUCAGACUUUAUAGCUGAUUCAGUUCUACAAACCAUAUAGAAAGAAAGAACAUUGAAUUGAGAAGGAAAAAAUGAGAAAGUUCCAAGUUUCAAAAUAUUAAACUCUUACCUAGUUUUGGAUCUUGAUGACUUUGAACAAAUAAGGAAAAGUGCUUUACAAACACUUGAUCCUACAAAGAUCCUUGUUAUAUAUUAUAUAUUGUGUCUAAUGUGAAAAAUUACACAGCUGGGAAAGGAUAAUUAUGCUAAGAACUUUAAUAUUUACAUUUACCUUUCUGAAGUUAACUACAAGGCAUGUACUGAUUUAAUUAGGAUUAUAAUUAUACACUUACUAAGUACAUCUCAGAAAGUAAGGUUCACCUGAAAUGCAAUAUUCAUUAAAAAUACCAAAUACCCCUGGCAGAGGUAAGUGGAAACAAGAAAGGGUUAAAAGAAAAUAAGUCUAGGGCUCUAGGAGUGUCUGUUGUCUCCUUCACAGAGCAAGGAGUCGUCUCAGCAAGGUUGUCCAUGUGGUGAUCAGUCAGUCACCAACCCCAAGUCACAUUCUAAAGAGAAUUUUCCCUUAGAUUCUUCAGGAAAGGCAGCACUCUCCUAUUCAAUCCAGUGGGAAUCUGACUUCUGCUGAUCCUAAUCCUACCCCAUUUUAAAAAUAAUAGGAUUGUGAUAAAAUCACUAAAGUAUAAAGCUAUUUGAAAAUGAAAAAAGUCAGAUACUUAGCCAAAAAUGAUAACUGACAGUUACAAAAUUAAAGCAAAGUAGCAAGUUAGAAACAAUGAAAAGUUAGAACAAAUAAGAGUACUUGCUUUCUUGGGAGUCCCUAACACUUGGCAGAUUUUGAAGAUUUCAUCAACUUCACUUGUCCCUGGGAACAGUGGUCUUAGGGUAUAGAGUUCAGCCAUGAUGCUUCCCACCGCCCACACGUCAAUGGGAGAACUGUAUACCGAAGAUCUUAGUAAAACUUCAGGAGCUCGAUACCUUUGAAAAUAGAGAACAAGACAAAAAAAAAAAAAAAAAUGGCUGUUUGGAGUAUGA
Sciurus carolinensis (gray squirrel) is the source of this 1901-nucleotide long non-coding RNA. RefSeq lists it as uncharacterized. The record is from RefSeq and is a predicted model, not a curated record. The transcript is spliced from 2 exons. NCBI's taxonomy places the organism in Eukaryota, Metazoa, Chordata, Mammalia, Rodentia, Sciuridae.